GUGCCAGCAGCCGCGGUAAUACGAAGGGUGCAAGCGUUGUUCGGAUUUAUUGGGCGUAAAGAGCGCGCAGGCGGAUAGAUAAGUCAGGUGUGAAAUCUCGGGGCCUAACCCCGAAACUGCGCCUGAAACUGUUUAUCUAGAAUGUCGGAGAGGGAGACGGAAUUUCGCAUGUAGGGGUAAAAUCCGUAGAGAUGCGAAGGAACAUCAGGGGCGAAGGCGGUCUCCUGGCCGAUGAUUGACGCUGAGGCGCGAAAGCGUGGGUAGCAAACAGGAUUAGAUACCCUGGUAGUCCACGCCGUAAACGAUGAGCACUAGAUAUGGGGAUAUUGACCAUUUCCGUAUCGAAGUUAACGCAUUAAGUGCUCCGCCUGGGGAGUACGGUCGCAAGACUAAAACUCAAAGGAAUUGACGGGGGCCCGCACAAGCGGUGGAUUAUGUGGUUUAAUUCGAAGCAACGCGCAAAACCUUACCUAGGUUUGAAAUCCUGAGAAUCCUGCCGAAAAGUAGGAGUGCCCUUCGGGGAAUUCAGUGACAGGCGCUGCAUGGCUGUCGUCAGCUC
This 559-nucleotide ribosomal RNA is filed under the name uncultured organism. RNAcentral's name for it is "bacterial SSU rRNA". It matches the Rfam family "Bacterial small subunit ribosomal RNA", at positions 505 to 1061 of the family's 1533-position model. The record is from RNAcentral.